UGGCUAAAGAAACUCCGAUUGGUGCUGGGCA
RNAcentral lists this non-coding RNA (31 nucleotides) under Mus musculus (house mouse). The record is from RNAcentral. Lineage: Eukaryota; Metazoa; Chordata; Mammalia; Rodentia; Muridae.